GACGAACGCUGGCGGCGUGCCUAAUACAUGCAAGUAGAACGCACAGUUUAUACCGUAGCUUGCUACACCAUAGACUGUGAGUUGCGAACGGGUGAGUAACGCGUAGGUAACCUGCCUGGUAGCGGGGGAUAACUAUUGGAAACGAUAGCUAAUACCGCAUCAUAUUAAUUAUUGCAUGAUAAUUAAUUGAAAGGUGCAAUUGCACCACUACCAGAUGGACCUGCGUUGUAUUAGCUAGUAGGUGAGGUAACGGCUCACCUAGGCGACGAUACAUAGCCGACCUGAGAGGGUGAUCGGCCACACUGGGACUGAGACACGGCCCAGACUCCUACGGGAGGCAGCAGUAGGGAAUCUUCGGCAAUGGACGAAAGUCUGACCGAGCAACGCCGCGUGAGUGAAGAAGGGUUUCGGAUCGUAAAGCUCUGUUGUAAGAGAAGAACGGGUGUGAGAGUGGAAAGUUCACACUGUGACGGUAUCUUACCAGAAAGGGACGGCUAACUACGUG
RNAcentral lists this ribosomal RNA (505 nucleotides) under uncultured bacterium. RNAcentral's name for it is "partial 16S ribosomal RNA". It matches the Rfam family "Bacterial small subunit ribosomal RNA", at positions 28 to 507 of the family's 1533-position model. The record is from RNAcentral.